UGCCCAACAACUCCUAUCCCUACCUCCUCGUGGUACUGGCCGGGAUACGAGUAACCUUGGGGAAGAUCGUGUAACUAACCCCGCCCGGUGGGAACUUUGGUCGUAUGCUGACAGGGAAGG
This 120-nucleotide ribozyme is filed under the name Aedes aegypti (yellow fever mosquito). Its description in RNAcentral is "drz-agam-1 ribozyme". It matches the Rfam family "drz-agam-1 ribozyme". The record is from Rfam by way of RNAcentral. Lineage: Eukaryota; Metazoa; Arthropoda; Insecta; Diptera; Culicidae.